Molecule: ribosomal RNA, 560 nt
Filed under: Cristiceps australis (crested weedfish)
Lineage: Eukaryota; Metazoa; Chordata; Actinopteri; Blenniiformes; Clinidae
Description: partial 16S ribosomal RNA
Rfam family: Bacterial large subunit ribosomal RNA
Source: RNAcentral
GUCCGCCUGCCCUGUGAUUUUAAAUUUAACGGCCGCGGUAUUUUGACCGUGCAAAGGUAGCGCAAUCACUUGUCUUUUAAAUAAAGACCCGUAUGAAUGGCAUAACGAGGGCUUAGCUGUCUCCCUUUUCCAGUCAAUGAAAUUGAUUUCCCCGUGCAGAAGCGGGGAUAAAAGCAUAAGACGAGAAGACCCUGUGGAGCUUUAAACGCCAAAGCAGGCCCUGUUAAAUAACCUCCCCUACAAAAGCUGAAACCAAUCGGACUCUGUUUUGCUGUUUUUGGUUGGGGCGACCGCGGGGUAAUGACUAACCCCCAUGUAGAAUGAGAGUACUUCCUCUUUAAAACAAAGACCCACAAUUCUAAAUUACAGAACUUCUGACUAACUAUGAUCCGGUAAAACCGAUCAACGAACCGAGUUACCCCAGGGAUAACAGCGCAAUCCUCUUUAAGAGCCCAUAUCGACAAGAGGGUUUACGACCUCGAUGUUGGAUCAGGACCUCCUAAUAGUGCAGCCGCUAUGAAGGGUUCGUUUGUUCAACGAUUAAAGUCCUACGUGAUCUG